GCCCCGGUAGCUCAGCCCGGUAGAGCAGCGGACUUUUAAUCCGGUGGUCGGCGGUUCGAGUCCGCCCCGGGGCACCA
This 77-nucleotide transfer RNA is filed under the name Candidatus Dormiibacterota bacterium. RNAcentral describes it as "tRNA-Lys". It matches the Rfam family "tRNA". From Rfam's summary of the family: Transfer RNA (tRNA) molecules are approximately 80 nucleotides in length. Lineage: Bacteria; Bacillati; Candidatus Dormiibacterota. The record is from RNAcentral.